GGGUGAUGCCGCGCGGUCGCCGGCUUGGGAUGGUGUUCGCGCCUCCGAGACCCGGACAGAGGCAAGCAGGGGCGCCGUGGGUGCCAGAGAGGCGGAAGAGGAGGCCUGAUGGGGCCUUUACUCUGCUUGUCAUUGAGCUGAUGACCAAGAUCCAGCCUAGAGCACAAGAAGACAAACGCUGCGUGAUCUCGUGUGUAGAACCUAACAAAGUGGAACUCACAGAAGCAGAGAGUAGAAUGGUGGUUGCCUGUUGGAAUGGGGAGAUGGUCAGAGAAUGCAAACUUUCAGUUGGAUGAGAGGAAGAAGUUCCAGAGAUCCAUUGUGCCACAUGGUGACAAUAGUUAAUAACAAUGUACUGGGCGGUGGGGGGUGGCUUACGCCUGUAAUCCCAGCACUUUGGGAAGCUGAGGCAGACAGAUCACUUGAGGUCAGGAGUUCUAGACCAGCUUGUCCAACAUGGUGAAACCCUGUUUCUACUAAAACUACAAAAUUAGCCAGGUGUGGUGGUGUGCGCCUGUAAUCUCAGCUACUUGGGAGGCUGAAUCGCUUGAACCCAGGAGGUGGAGGUUGCAGUGAGUCGAGACUGCGCCACUGCCCUCCAGCCUGGGUGACACAGUGAGACUCUGUUUCAAAAAAACAAAAAAAAGCAAUGUACUGUAUACUUGAAAAUUGCUCACAGGGAUUUUAAAUGUUCUCACCAUUACAAAAUGAUAAAUAUGUGACAUAAUGCAUAUGUUAAUUAGCCCGAUUUAGUGAUUCCACAGUGUAUACAUAUAACAAAACAUGUUGUACACCAUAAAUGUAUACUAUUUUUAUUUGCCAAUUAAAUAUUUUUUUUUAAAGUUUUAGCCUGCAGGUUUAGCUUUUUGGGGCUGAAGCCCCAUAGCCCCCUCCACUUCAACACACUCAUCAGCAUUGUAAUUACUUUGUAAUUAAUGCCUGUGUUCCUACUAAAUUGUAAGCUCCACAUGAGCUCUGCCUCCAGGUGCUUGCAAAAAAACCAAAAGGGGGUGGGGGUAGAUGCUCAAAACCUGUUUAUUAAAUUGUAUUGAAAUUGAAACGCUUGAAACAGAUUUCAUUCCUGCUUAUUUUCUAACAGUGGUUAAAACUUGGUAACUUCAAGUUGACAUGGAUUUCAGAAUUCAAUGUAAUUUCAAUAAUAUUAUAAUAGAACAAACUUAGGGUUGCCAACAUUUAUUUUGCUAAGCAAGGCUAUUUUAAAAACAACUAUCAAUAAUUAUCUUAUUUUAAAAAAUACAUUUUAACCUUAUAUAUACAUGUUUGGAAUAAAAACAGUCCUUCCUGAGAAGGAAGAGUUGGCAGACCUACAUCAAUAAAAUAAAUAUAUUCAAAUGCUUUGGA
Molecule: long non-coding RNA, 1362 nt
Organism: Pan troglodytes (chimpanzee)
Lineage: Eukaryota; Metazoa; Chordata; Mammalia; Primates; Hominidae
Exons: 2
Source: RefSeq, a predicted model, not a curated record